This 253-nucleotide ribosomal RNA is filed under the name uncultured bacterium. RNAcentral describes it as "partial 16S ribosomal RNA". It matches the Rfam family "Bacterial small subunit ribosomal RNA", at positions 524 to 776 of the family's 1533-position model. The record is from RNAcentral.
UACAGAGGGGGCAAGCGUUGUUCGGAAUUACUGGGCGUAAAGGGCGCGUAGGCGGCCUGCUAAGUCGAACGUGAAAUCCCCGGGCUCAACCCGGGAACUGCGUCCGAUACUGGCAGGCUUGAAUCCGGGAGAGGGAUGUGGAAUUCCAGGUGUAGCGGUGAAAUGCGUAGAUAUGCGGAGGAACACCGAUGGCGAAGGCAAUCCCCUGGACCUGUACUGACGCUCAUGCACGAAAGCGUGGGGAGCAAACAGG